RNAcentral lists this long non-coding RNA (212 nucleotides) under Pan troglodytes (chimpanzee). RNAcentral's name for it is "long non-coding RNA NONPTRT014415". Lineage: Eukaryota; Metazoa; Chordata; Mammalia; Primates; Hominidae. The record is from RNAcentral.
UCGUUACGCAUUAGCAAAGAGCCUCUACUCUAAAGAUUUGUGGAACUUUGAACUGCGGGACCUCCCUCCCCCACCAGCACCCCAUGCGGGACCUCCCUCCCCCACCAGCACCCCAAUGUGUGACCUCCAUCCCCCACUAGCACCCCAAUAUGGGAUUUCCCACAAAGAAAGGAGAAGAACCAAGAGUUUGGCAUUAAGCAUAAAGGUCUAAU